RNAcentral lists this ribosomal RNA (213 nucleotides) under Triticum aestivum (bread wheat). RNAcentral describes it as "partial small subunit ribosomal RNA". Lineage: Eukaryota; Viridiplantae; Streptophyta; Magnoliopsida; Poales; Poaceae. The record is from RNAcentral.
AUGUGCAAGGCCAAGAGGGAGGGUGGAAUGGGCUUUCGGGAUCCGGAGGCAUUCAACCAAGCUCUACUGGCAAAACAGGCUUGGCGUGUCCUACAGCUUCCAUCUUCCUUGUGUGCUCGGGUGCUCAAAGCCAGGUACUUUCCUGAGGGGUUGAUCAUGAACGCCACGUGCCCCAAUGAAGGCUCCUUCACAUUUGAGAGUAUCAUUCAUGGU